Molecule: ribosomal RNA, 284 nt
Filed under: uncultured Subdoligranulum sp.
Lineage: Bacteria; Bacillati; Bacillota; Clostridia; Eubacteriales; Oscillospiraceae
Description: partial 16S ribosomal RNA
Rfam family: Bacterial small subunit ribosomal RNA
Source: RNAcentral
ACGGAUGAUUUCUUCGGAAUGAAACCUGAUAUGACUUAGUGGCGGACGGGUGAGUAACACGUGAGCAACCUGCCUUUCAGAGGGGGAUAACGGCUGGAAACGGUCGCUAAUACCGCAUAAGCCCACGGUACCGCAUGGUACUGAGGGAAAAGGAUUUAUUCGCUCUAGGAUGGACUCGCGUCCAAUUAGCUAGUUGGUGAGGUAACGGCCCACCAAGGCGACGAUUGGUAGCCGGACUGAGAGGUUGAACGGCCACAUUGGAACUGAGACACGGUCCAAACUCC